This 53-nucleotide ribosomal RNA is filed under the name Afzelia bipindensis. RNAcentral describes it as "partial 5.8S ribosomal RNA". The record is from RNAcentral. Lineage: Eukaryota; Viridiplantae; Streptophyta; Magnoliopsida; Fabales; Fabaceae.
GUAAGUUGCGCUCGAGGCUAAUAGUCUAAGGGCACGUCAAGCUAGGUGUCAUG